CCACUGCCCUCCAGCCUGGGUGACAGAGUAAGACUCCAUGUCAAAAAAAAAAAAAAGAAAGAAAAAAAAUUGUUAAAAAGAGUAUAUCUUCCUCAGAAGGCCUAAUGACUGUGAGUAACUUGAGGUCAAAGAACACGUUUAUUUUUUGCCAUAAAUUUUAGCCUAGCAGAAUGACUACAAUAUAAAUAUUCAACAUCUAACACAUUUGUUAUUUUUUACUAAAGCAUGAAGGAAACAACAAAGUUUAUUUCUACUCAUACUAAGAAAACAAUGACUUAAAAUUAGAUCACAAUUAGAAUUUGUUGCUUUGUGAGGUAGUGAGCUACCUAUAACUGGAGGUGAUGAAGCACUGGUUGUGAGCCAGAUCAAAACCCUGUCCUGGGGAGACAAUUGGGUAUGUCCAGGUGCAGUUGUUCAAUGUGAUUUAGUCCCUACCAGGAGGUCUGGUUGCCUGGGUUCAGAACAGCAGAGGAAAAAUUAGACAAAAGACACAUUCAGAAGUCAAGGUGCUCUGACAGUUCAGCAGACAUAUGACCUAACUUCAACCAGCAGACAGGAUCUGACCUAGGAAAGAUGAAGACAAAAACCAGAUCUCAAACAGAUGUAUUGUAGUUCAAGGUAGGGCAAUCAGACCUGUAGGAAGACUGAGCAGGCCACUGAAUUGGGCCCCCGAAAGAGAAGCCCAGACAUGAGGACUGGACCCACCCAGGAACUGGGAGUAAAGCAAUUUGGGGACAGUUGGGUCCUAGGCCUCGCCUCUAGGAAACCUGGAUUGCCCAGUCGGUGCUGAAGGUGUCUCAGAUCUGCUUGGAUCUAUAAUAUUGGACCUGGAUUUCAGGGGAAGUGUGUAUCUGGAAAUAAAAAUCAGAAAAUUUGGAGAAUAAAAGAACAAGGAAAAUUAAGGAAGGAUUUUUUUCAACCUUAAAAGCCACCUUGAGAAAUGAGAGAAGAGAGGAUUGGCUACUCGGUAUUGUGCUUUCUGCUGUCUACCUAGAAGACUUGAGGAAGAAGCCCCUUCACAUUCAUCAGUCACUUGAAUGACAUGAAAGACAGGAUGUUUCUUGCACUAACACCCGUGUGUUCAAAUGGAAAACCUCAUGUAACAGGAAGCCUCGCUAGCAAAAGACUAAUUUUCUGUGAAGUUCUGGCUAAACUAAGGAAAAGUCUGAUUAAGAAAGCACUUCUAAAGAAAUAAGCCUUUAUUACUUUCAAAUAUACACAGUAAAAGAACUAGAGGCUUCUCUCCUGGGAGCUUCUAAGAAACUACUUUUAUUGGCUGGGGGGUAAUAUGUUAGCAAUAGAUGAAAUCUGAUUGUGACAUAUCAAUUGUAUGUAAAUUAGCAUUUCUGCUAAGAUUGUUUGAGAACAGUUUACUUUCAUAAUUGACUGAAAAAUGCUUCUUUCAAUUUUGCUGACACUAGUAAUGCAUCUGGCAAACUUUCCCUUCAGAGAAGUGUCAGGUUAAGCUUUAUCCCAGGUACUGUUUCAAACAAACAUAAACUCUAAUUUUGUGAGGCCCAUAUUAAUAAGUCUUUUUUAACUUUUUUUUUUUUUUGAGACAAGGUCUCACUCUCUCCCCCAGGCUGGAGUGCAGGGGUACAAUCAUGGUUCCACUGCAGGCUUGACAUCCCAGGCUCCAGUGAUCUUCCCACCUCAGCCUCUUGCAUAUCUGGGACCACACCCACAAUGCCCAGCUAAUUUUUUUUUUUUAAGUUUUUUGUAGAAACAGGUUUUACAUGUUGCCCAGGCUGGUCUCAAACUCCUGGGCUCAAGCGAUCCUCCCACCUAGGCCUCUCAAAAUGUUGAGAUUAGAGGUGUGAGCCACUGCACCCAGCCAGGCUUUACAAUUUUUAAAUAACUUUCAGCACAAAUACUUGUGAACCAGAAACAUUGGUUGAAAAUAUCUGUAACUUCUUUCUCAGCUCUAAAUUACUGAGAAGCAAAUGGAACCACAUGUUACAAAUAUUUCACAAGAACCAGUACCAUACUUUUAAACAUCUUGAUUAUGAUCUACUUGACAGUCAUAUUUGAGUUGUUGCUCUGUGUAACAUAAGAGUUGGGCUACACCUUCAGAAUAACUGGCAAAGCACCACCAACUGGCUGUGUCCUGAGAGGCUACCCAGCAACCUGGCUUUUUGUCUGAGUAUCAGACGCCCACUCUUCAUUGGACCAUAGAGGUUUUUCUCCCUAGUCCUCACCUCCAGCUCACUCCACCAAGUUAUUAGGAGUCUCUGAAAGAAACACGGAACACCCAGAGCAGAAAGCCAAUUUCUAAUUGGGCCAUCAGAUAGGGAAGAAAUGACAACUUCAACAAGAUUUCUUGUGAUCCUUGAGAGAUUUUCUAUGCAGGUACAGUCACAUUUAUGUCUUUUAAUAAUAGAGUUCAUCCAUCAUACAAGAUUGAUGAUCCCUGCAGAAGUUAAAAGUCUAGGAAUAAGAAAUUUGCACUUUAAAGAAGUCUUUCCUUUGUCUUACGGCUUCCAGAAUUCCUGAUGAGGAGUCUGCUAUCAAUCUUAUCUUGUGGCUUUGAAGUGAUAAUGUCAUUCUCACCUGUAAUCCCAGCACUUUGGGAGGCUGAGGC
RNAcentral lists this long non-coding RNA (2581 nucleotides) under Homo sapiens (human). RNAcentral describes it as "HSALNT0337234". Lineage: Eukaryota; Metazoa; Chordata; Mammalia; Primates; Hominidae. The record is from RNAcentral.